Molecule: ribosomal RNA, 253 nt
Filed under: uncultured bacterium
Lineage: Bacteria
Description: partial 16S ribosomal RNA
Rfam family: Bacterial small subunit ribosomal RNA
Source: RNAcentral
UACGUAGGGGGCAAGCGUUGUCCGGAAUCAUUGGGCGUAAAGAGCGUGUAGGCGGUUCGGUAAGUCGGCUGUGAAAGUCCAGGGCUCAACCCUGGGAUGCCGGUCGAUACUGCCGGACUAGAGUUCGGAAGAGGCGAGUGGAAUUCCCGGUGUAGCGGUGAAAUGCGCAGAUAUCGGAAGGAACGCCGGUGGCGAAAGCGAUCGACUGGACCUCUUCUGACGCUGAGGCGCGAAAGCCAGGGGAGCGAACGGG